GAACCUGCGGAGGGAUCAUUACACAAUUUAAAAUAUGAAGGCUUCGGCUGGAUUAUUUUUUAUCACCCUUGUCUUUUGCGCACUUGUUGUUUCCUGGGCGGGUUCAAAACGCCACCAGGACCACACCAUAAACCUUUUUUAUGCAGUUGCAAUCAGCGUCAGUAUAACAAAUGUAAAUCAUUUACAACUUUCAACAACGGAUCUCUUGGUUCUGGCAUCGAUGAAGAACGCAGCGAAAUGCGAUACGUAGUGUGAAUUGCAGAAUUCAGUGAAUCAUCGAAUCUUUGAACGCACAUUGCGCCCUUUGGUAUUCCAAAGGGCAUGCCUGUUCGAGCGUCAUUUGUACCCUCAAGCUUUGCUUGGUGUUGGGCGUCUUUUGUCUUUGGCUUCGCCCAAAGACUCGCCUUAAAACGAUUGGCAGCCGGCCUACUGGUUUCGCAGCGCAGCACAUUUUUGCGCUUGCAAUCAGCAAAAGAGGACGGCACUCCAUCAAGACUACAUUUUUACGUUGACCUCGGAUCAG
This 523-nucleotide ribosomal RNA is filed under the name Curvularia lunata. RNAcentral's name for it is "eukaryotic LSU rRNA". The stretch from base 186 to 339 matches the Rfam family "5.8S ribosomal RNA". Lineage: Eukaryota; Fungi; Ascomycota; Dothideomycetes; Pleosporales; Pleosporaceae. The record is from RNAcentral.